GACAGUUACUUCAUGGAGUUGGCAGACCCCCUGGGAUCCCAAUCAGGCUCCAUCUUAUAUGUAACAUUUCCAUUUAAUGAUGGUACUUGGCUGAACCUGUCGUGUUUUAUUAGGAUUAGUGAGCACUGUGAAAAAAAUAAAAUCAGAUAAAGAAAAAUUUAAAAGUUUAUUGUUCAAACAAGAAGUACAGACCACAAUCUAGAAGACUCAAAUCAAGUGGUAAGAAAUUAAUCUUACAGCAGUUACAACACAGUUUAUAAUGCAUAAAGGGGGGGAAUAUUUUGACCUUUUUUAUAAUUGGCUGUUAUACAUUCUUUUUAGGGCAAGUUGAGCUGUUUAAGCUUGUUGGUCUAUAGCUGAUUGGUUUAAUUUCAGUGAAUCAUGCUGGCAAGGAUGUAAAGCUUACAUUUUGCAUUUCAUUUAUGAUCAGAGACAGCAUUUCAGGAAAAUCAGAAUGAUUAGUUUUGGUUACACGGUUGCGGGUAGUCAGCCUUAGGGUAUUUCUAAACUGGGGCUUCCAUUUUUAUUUUUCGUUAAUAAUACCUGCAUGAGAUGGGCAGCUCAGGUCUUAAGGUCACAUACAGUGCUUCAGUGGUCAAGUGUUCUGUUUAAAUUAGAGUCCAAUAGCAGGCUAGUAGCUGCCAUUCAAAGGGAAUGUAUAUGGCAACCAUCUUGGGUAAUUUAUAUGUCCAAAACCUAAGGGCCUGGUGCAUCCUGAUAGCAGUCUCUUGUUGCCGCAGUAUCCAAUCUGUAUGGGUAAGAGUCAAUGAGACCUGUAGUUCCAUGGGCCUACAUUAAUGUCAGGCCCAUGUUAAUGCAUAGUAGGCCUCUCGAGUCUGCUGUUGUUGAGGGCCCCAUUCAGAGGUGGCUGUGUUGUGGGUAAUUUUAACUAAAGGAGGCAAAAUAAUACUCAGAUGUGAUACAUGUUAUCUCCAAUAGACAAACAGGCAUACCAGCUAUUGAGCUUCUUUUAGGUGGGGGCUGCCAAGGACAAUAUUUGACUUUAUCAGGAAUACUCCUCUAAUUACUGGACCAGGUAGCUCCAGGGACUGCACUUGUUGGGCAAGUCUUGGGAUCUUAUCAGGGCUGACAACUCAACCUGCAUGUGUCAUAUUAUCUAUGACCUUAUGUAUGGAGUGGUCAACUUGUUUCAUAGGCUGGCAAUGAGCAUGUUAUUAAUAUAGUGGAUGACAAGUACUUUUCGAAGUAACUGGACAUGUUGCAGGUCAGGGGAAUGGAAGUAUUGCUAUGGACUGAACUGUGCCCCCAAAAUUCAUAUGUUGAAGCCCUGAGCUCUGACAUGAUUGUAUCUGAAGUCCUAAAGCCAGGAAUGAGGAAGGCUGUGAAUGUCCAUUGUUCCAUACAAGAAUGACUCUUCUCUUGGCUAUUUAGAGAUCAUGAGGGAUACUGCCCCAGUUUCCACAGGCCAGAUGGUCUCCAACAAAAGCCACGGGGGAGUCACCCCUGCCUGGCAGAUCUAUCGGGUCAGGACCACCGCCCAGGGGGUCCUGGAGAGGACAGUAUAGGACCAAAGAGGAUUAUUCAUGAGCCUAAGAUCUCAUGAAACGUGCCUUGCUAAGUUUUAGACUUGCAUAGGACCAUCAUCCCCCUGCUCCCCCAUCCUUUUUUAUUUUUUAUUGAUAGGGUUUCACUCUGUCAUCCAGGCUGGAGUGCAGUACGAUCACAACUCACUGUAGCCUCGAACUCCCAUGCUCAAGCCACCAUGCCCAACUAAUUAUUUUUAUUAUUUUUGUAGAAAUAAGGUCUCCCUAUGUUGCCCAGGCUGGUCUCGAACUCCUGGACUCAAGCAAUCCUCCCACCUCAGCCUCCCAAAGUGCUAGGAUUAAAGGCAUGAGCUAUCACACCCAGCCUCAUCAUCCCUUUCUUCCUUCCAAUUUCUCACUUUUGGAAUUGGAAUACCUAAUCCUGCCUAUCCCAUCACUGUAUUUUGGAAGCACAUAACUUGUCUGGUUUCAUAGGUUCACAGCUGGAGGGGAAUUUUGCCUCAGGAUAAGCUAAACCUUGGGUCUCACCCAUAUCUGAUUUAGAUAUUUUUGAGACAAAGUCUCACUGUCGCCCAGGCUGGAGUGCAAUGGUGCGAUCUCGGCUCACUGCAACCUCUGUCUCUCGGGUUCAAGCGAUUCUCCUGCCUCAGCCUCCCCGUGUAGCUGGGAUUACAGGUGCACACCAUCACGCCCAGCUAAUUUUUGUAUUUUUAGUAGAGAUGGGGUUUCACCAUGUUGGUCAGGCUGGUCUCGAACUCCUGACGUAGUGAUCCACCCGCCUCGGCCUCCCAAAGUGCUGGGAUUACAGGCGUGAGCCACCAUGCCCGGCCUUUAUUUAGAUAUUUAGAUAUUUAGAUGAGACUUUGGACUUUAAAUGUUAGUUGAUACUAGAAUGAGUUAAAACUUUGGAGGCUGUUAGGAUGGAAUGAACUUAUUUUGUAUGUAAGGAUAUGAAUAGAGUGGCUAGGAGUGGAAUGUUAUAGAAUGAAUAUUUAUGUUGAAGCCCUAACCCCAAAUGUUAUAUUUGGGGGUGGGGGGCCUUUGGAAAAUAACUAGGAUUGGAGUAGGUCAUGAGAAUGGGGCUGUCACUCUCACUAACGCCCUUAAAAGACUUGGAAGAGGCACCAGUGCUCUUGCUCUCUGAAAUUUGAGGACACAGGAAAAAGGGGGCCAUCUGCAAACCAGGAAGAGAGCCCUCACCAGCACUCAACCAUUCUGGCAUCUUGAUGUUGAAUUAUGAAGACUACAGAACUGUGAGAAAUAAAUGUCUGUUGUUUAAGCCAUCCUCUAUGGUAUUUUGUUAUAAUAGCUCAAACUGACUAAAACAGUUGCUAAAGAUAUAUCCCUCCCAAUCCCCUCACCCAAAGAACCAGGCCCAGUUACUUUUAGCAAGCCUUCAAGGAACAAUUCCCAUGUUAUACAAACUCUCCAUAGCAAUAAGAUAAACAAAAUUUUUUCCAAAUUCUUUUGCAAAGCUAGCAAAGCAUUACCAAAUUGAAUCUACUUCUGUACUUAAUAAAAAUUCACUAUGAACAAAUAGAUUUUACUUGAAAAGUACAAGGAAAUUGCAAAUAUUUGCAAACUUGUCAAGAAAAUGAAUUACAAAAAGAAAAAACCAUAACUCAUAAAAUUACAAUGAUGGAGUUUUUAAACUUGAUAUAAUAUAGCAACCAAUCCUAAUAAAAACUUUUUAAGUAUAGGCCAGGCAUGGUGGCUCACACCUGUAUUCCCAGCACUUAGAGAAGCUGAGGCAGGAUGAUCGCUUGAGGCCAGGACCGCAAGACCAGCCUGAGCAAAAUAGUGAAACCCCAUGUUUACAAAAAAUAAAAAUAAAAACUUAGUCGGGCAUGGUGGCACAUGCCUGUAUUCCUAACUAUAGGGGAGGUUGAGGCAGGAGCAUCUCUUGAGCCCAGGAGUUCAAGGCUGAGGUGACCUAUGGUCACAUCACUACACUCCAGCCUGAGCAACAGAGGGAGACCUUGUCAAAAAAAAAAACAGAAAACAAAACUGUAAGUAUAAUAAUAAUUGGGAAACUGUGCACUGUGUGCCCAGUAUUGUUACAAUAAUGUAUUCUUCACAACCCUAUGAGGUAGCUCCAUUUUAUAGAUGGAGGAAUAAGAUACAAGGAAGGUAAGUGAUUUGCCCAGGAUCACACACCUAACAAAGUGGUGGACUCAGGAUUUGAACCUAGGGCACUGGGAACAAAAUCUGUGCUCUUAACCACUAAACUACACUGCUUCUUCUAGAAAUAAGAUUAGAAGGAAACUUCCUAAAUCUAACAGAACAUCAGAAUCCAACAAUGAACACGAUAUGAAACUGCAGAAUACUAAAAACAUUCCCCCAAGCGUUAAGAGAAAGACAUCUACUGUUCCAUGUUUUCUGAAGUUCUUGCUAAUGCACAACAUAAGUGACAUCAAAAGACAAAUAAAUCAUUAUUUAUUCUAAACCUAGAAAAGCUAGGAAAUGAAUCUAACAAAUUAUUAAACCUAAAAAUAAUUUAUCAACAUAAUUGGAUCCAGAUAAAAUUUGUUUAAAUCAAUAAUUAAAGUUUAUACUAGCAGUGACCAAUAGAAAUUGAAGUAUGGCUUUCAAAUGCAGCCAGUUUUCCUCCAUCCAAGAGCCUGAGGCUUUUUCAGGAUUCACUUGUACUGAGCACCCACACCAGACUGGUGGCAGUGAGUUAAUAUAGUUAGGAAAUGGUGCACAUUCCCACACUCUGGAGGCUUAGUAUGGUAGGGGAUGAGCAGGCAAGAACCAGAAGGUAAAACUGCAGCUUCCAACAGGCAGGAUGGUUCUUCUGCAGACAUGACUGGCAAUGUCCAACUCAGGGCGGGGAACCAGAAAUGUCCAACUCAUGUGCUCAUAUAGUGUGGGGCUCUUCCCUGAAAUCUGGGGGCUCCCAAAAUAAGACAGUUAAAGAGGAAAAAGUCCUAUCUGCAUAUCUUUUAAAAGAAAAUGGAAAAAAAUACAAAAAAACAAGCUGAAAACAUUUAAAAUACAUAUUCACAAAUGGUAAAAUUCCAGCCGUGUCAUGAGCUCCGGUUUGUUGUUUUGUUGUUGUUAUUGAGACAGAGUCUCGCUCUGUUGCCCAGGCUGCAGUACAGUGGUGUGAUCUUGGCUCACUGCAAUCUCUGCCCUCCAGGUUCAAGUGAUUCUCUUGCCUCAGACUCCUGAAUAGCUGGGAUUACAGGCGUGCACCACCACACCCAGCUAAUUUUUGUAUUUUUAGUAGAAACGGGGUUUUACAAUGUUGGCCAGGCUGGUCUCAAACUCCUGGACUCAGGUGAUCUGACCGCCUCAGCCUCCCAAAGUGCUGGGAUUACAGGCAUGAGCCACUGUGCCCAGACAAGUUUAGAAAUUUCAAAAGGCCCUGAAAAACUUUAGGCCCCCAGUAAUCCUUUCUAACUUUGUCUGAGACAUCUCCCCAACAAUCACAUUUAAUUCUAAUUUUCUUGAUCCUCAACUCUCUUUCCUUUCUCCUGCAUUGUCUGAAACAUACACCACAGUGCACAAAAUCACCCCUCCAGGUUACAUGACUGACAUUGCCCCUCUAGCCUCCUCCUCCACCUUUGUCAUACUGCGGAUCCUGUCAGCCUGUUAAGAAAUCUGGGGGAUGGAGGCCAGGCGUGAGCCACUGAGCCUGGCCGACUAUAACUUUUAUUUAGGAAGCAGGAUGCAGUCAAAUAGUUCAGAAAUGGAGUAAGUGUGCAGCUCAAAGCAUGUUAUCAGUAGGAUAUGACUGCCCAACCCAAUACCUAGAUAAACAGACACUCAUUCACACACAAAUCCAUUAGCUCUUCAAGGCUGAAGUACCAGUAGUAAGACUUCCAGGGCUACAAGUAGAAGAUAUCAGUGAGCCUUUAUAUGUGAUAUAUUACGAUGCCACUUCCUUCUUUAGAAGCUUCUAGUCCAGUGUAAUGGGAGGGAGACGGGAGCCUGUGCCCACGUUUAUGAUGGCUCAAUUUGAAUUUUAAAACUUAAGAACUAGCAUAUUCAAACUAUUAUGCAUAUAAAGAAAUAGAUACCAUACCUGAUCUCAGAAGCUUACAAGCUGGUAUGAAAGUAUACACAUUUGAGGCUGGGUGCAGUGGCUCAC
Molecule: long non-coding RNA, 5601 nt
Filed under: Homo sapiens (human)
Lineage: Eukaryota; Metazoa; Chordata; Mammalia; Primates; Hominidae
Description: HSALNT0053780
Source: RNAcentral